RNAcentral lists this ribosomal RNA (1200 nucleotides) under metagenome. Its description in RNAcentral is "bacterial SSU rRNA". It matches the Rfam family "Bacterial small subunit ribosomal RNA", at positions 296 to 1520 of the family's 1533-position model. The record is from RNAcentral.
GAGGUUGAACGGCCACAUUGGGACUGAGACACGGCCCAGACUCCUACGGGAGGCAGCAGUGGGGGAUAUUGCACAAUGGGGGAAACCCUGAUGCAGCGAUGCCGCGUGGAGGAAGAAGGUUUUCGGAUUGUAAACUCCUGUCGUAAGGGAAGAGAAAGGACUGUACCUUACAAGAAAGCUCCGGCUAACUACGUGCCAGCAGCCGCGGUAAUACGUAGGGAGCGAGCGUUGUCCGGAAUGACUGGGUGUAAAGGGAGCGUAGGCGGGAUGGCAAGUCAGAUGUGAAACCUGAGGGCUCAACCUUCAGACUGCAUUUGAAACUGCUGUUCUUGAGUGAAGUAGAGGUAAGCGGAAUUCCUGGUGUAGCGGUGAAAUGCGUAGAGAUCAGGAGGAACAUCGGUGGCGAAGGCGGCUUACUGGGCUUUUACUGACGCUGAGGCUCGAAAGCGUGGGGAGCAAACAGGAUUAGAUACCCUGGUAGUCCACGCUGUAAACGAUGAUUACUAGGUGUGGGGGGAUUGACCCCUUCCGUGCCGCAGUUAACACAAUAAGUAAUCCACCUGGGGAGUACGACCGCAAGGUUGAAACUCAAAGGAAUUGACGGGGGCCCGCACAAGCAGUGGAGUAUGUGGUUUAAUUCGAAGCAACGCGAAGAACCUUACCAGGUCUUGACAUCGAGUGACGUAUCCAGAGAUGGAUAUUUCCUUCGGGACACAAAGACAGGUGGUGCAUGGUUGUCGUCAGCUCGUGUCGUGAGAUGUUGGGUUAAGUCCCGCAACGAGCGCAACCCUUAUCAUUAGUUGCUACGCAAGAGCACUCUAAUGAGACUGCCGUUGACAAAACGGAGGAAGGUGGGGAUGACGUCAAAUCAUCAUGCCCCUUAUGACCUGGGCUACACACGUACUACAAUGGCGAUCGAACAGAGGGAAGCAAGACAGCGAUGUGGAGCCAAUCCCAAAAAAUCGCCCCAGUUCAGAUUGCAGGCUGCAACUCGCCUGCAUGAAGUCGGAAUUGCUAGUAAUCGCAGAUCAGCAUGCUGCGGUGAAUACGUUCCCGGGCCUUGUACACACCGCCCGUCACACCAUGGGAGUCGGUAACACCCAAAGCCGGUCGUCUAACCUUCGGGAGGACGCCGUCUAAGGUGGGAUUGAUGACUGGGGUGAAGUCGAAACAAGGUAGCCGUAUCGGAGGGUGCGGCUG